GCAGUUUGAAUGUCCCACUCACAGCUAGUAAAAAUAAACAUAAUAGCUGGGAUUUUGUGUUAGUAAAGAAGAUGGAUUAUAGCAGACAACAUGCGCAAAAUAUGGACAUCAGAGAAAGGAAGAGGCUUCGCAGGGAAUCUGUUUGGCUACAGAAUCCCUUCCUCCCCAAGGGACCGUCAACAAAGAAGCCGGGUAAAGAAGGAACCAGGCCUACUGAUAGCAGAGAGAGGAGAUCUUCAAUGGCACACAUCAGAUCUGUCAGGGACAAAAGGCCAUUGGCCACGAGCCAACAGGCAAAUCUCAGAGCUGGUAGACCUGCUGAGAGGAACUGGGAGAAAGCUGUCAGCAAAAGUUCAUCAGCUCAAGUUAAAGUGGCCUCAGUGGCCAAAACUACUGUAAAGAACGAUACAGAACCUGCACAGAAAAAAAGGAGGAAAAUUCACCCGUCUGGUUUC
This 455-nucleotide long non-coding RNA is filed under the name Sinocyclocheilus anshuiensis. RNAcentral's name for it is "lncRNA (ENSSANG00000047449.1)". The record is from RNAcentral. Lineage: Eukaryota; Metazoa; Chordata; Actinopteri; Cypriniformes; Cyprinidae.